UACGAAGGGGGCUAGCGUUGCUCGGAAUUACUGGGCGUAAAGCGUGCGCAGGCGGUGAUGUAAGACAGGUGUGAAAUCCCCGGGCUCAACCUGGGAACUGCAUUUGUGACUGCCUCGCUAGAGUACGGCAGAGGGGGAUGGAAUUCCGCGUGUAGCAGUGAAAUGCGUAGAUAUGCGGAGGAACACCGAUGGCGAAGGCAAUCCCCUGGGCCUGUACUGACGCUCAUGCACGAAAGCGUGGGGAGCAAACAGG
This 253-nucleotide ribosomal RNA is filed under the name uncultured bacterium. RNAcentral describes it as "partial 16S ribosomal RNA". It matches the Rfam family "Bacterial small subunit ribosomal RNA", at positions 524 to 776 of the family's 1533-position model. The record is from RNAcentral.